GACAUUGCCAUCAAGAUAUUGGAUUAUUUUGGGAUAUUGGAUUUUGUCCAAAAAAUGAUGUCAUAUUUUUCGCUGUCUAGAGACAGUAGGUGGCGGUAGAUCAUGAUAGUGUGAACUGUAGCACGUCCUGGUUCGUGAAAUUGAUGGAACGUUCUGAUUGGCUCGCGCAAAACACUCGGAAUUCGAAUUUGGCAAACCAAACGGAAUCGUAAAAAAAGCAAGUGAGGAACUUUUAAGUGACCAUUGCCAGGCAGAGUGAUGCCACCGACAGGGAGGGGAAUGGACAACAAAGGCCCCCCAAAAAUGGCACAAGAGGUUGAACAAACAUCUGCAUAUUGUGACAGUUCUCCAGCAAAAAAUAAAAAAACACACAGUAGUAAAACACCAGCUUCAAUCUCUUCAGAUUUGUUUGAGGGUGCACUUGCAGGUGCAAAUAGAGAGGUCAACAUGCUAUUUUCCAAAUACUCUGAAGUGUUGAGUGAGAGGGCUGCAAUAGAUGCUUCACAAGUUAGGGAGUUGGAAGACAUAUUGAUGGAGGCCAGAAACUUGGAGUCACACCUGAAAGAGAAGAAAGAUCACUUGAGGCGUACCUUGGCUCUUAUUUCUGACAAACUGCAGGGAUAGACUUGCUACAUGGGCCACAGACAUUUGUAAAUAUUUCUUCACUGAUCUCAAUAAGUAACAUGUCAGUACUUUUAUUUUGACCUCUGUAUGCUUUUUAGGUUUACUGUCAUCACUCUUUAUCCCACACUGGCAAACACAAUGUGAGUGUCAUUGUGGUUCAUUUCUUUAUAAAUGACCUAUUUAUAUUGAAGCAUUGGGAAUACUGUAGAUCUAGGCCUAUGUAGCCUACUGUAAACAAUAAAUAGGU
Long non-coding RNA from Oncorhynchus kisutch (coho salmon), 871 nucleotides. RefSeq lists it as uncharacterized. The record is from RefSeq and is a predicted model, not a curated record. Lineage: Eukaryota; Metazoa; Chordata; Actinopteri; Salmoniformes; Salmonidae. The transcript is spliced from 5 exons.